Long non-coding RNA from Gopherus evgoodei (Goodes thornscrub tortoise), 525 nucleotides. RefSeq lists it as uncharacterized. The transcript is spliced from 3 exons. The record is from RefSeq and is a predicted model, not a curated record. Lineage: Eukaryota; Metazoa; Chordata; Testudines; Testudinidae.
GUUUGUGCUGGCUACAGAAUAACGUCCACGUUUGCUCCAGAUCAUCCCAUCCUCCCAGGGGGAAGGAAAUGGCUGCAAUGGAGCUGGCUCAGGAUUUGGUGACUUUCGAGGAGGUGGCUGUGUAUUUCACCAAGGAGGAAUGGGCACUGCUGGACCCCACUCAGAGAGCCCUCUACAGAGAUGUCAUGCAGGAGAACUAUGAGACAGUGAUCUUGCUGAGUAAGAAGUCCUGUCCCCUUGGUUAUUAGAAGCUGUGGGGUCUCUAAAGACCCUGAGUAGUAAUAACUUUACACCUUCAUUCAUCUCACAAGUUUUGACAAGUUUUCUUGCCCAGCUUUUUUGCCUUAUCUCCCACCCACUAGUGUAAUUUUUGGACAUUUGCCUUCUUUGGUGCCGACAGUCAUUUUAAAAUUGCGUUGAAUGUAUCCUUAUUGGCUACAUUAAUAACUAUAUUAAUCACUGUAGCUUUCAUGCCAUUUCCUCAUUUUAAGAGGAAAAUAUGCUGCCUGUAGAAUUCUAAAUUGA